This 491-nucleotide ribosomal RNA is filed under the name uncultured bacterium. RNAcentral describes it as "partial 16S ribosomal RNA". It matches the Rfam family "Bacterial small subunit ribosomal RNA", at positions 29 to 506 of the family's 1533-position model. The record is from RNAcentral.
AGUGAACGCUGGCGGUAGGCCUAACACAUGCAAGUCGAACGGCAGCACAGUAAGAGCUUGCUCUUACGGGUGGCGAGUGGCGGACGGGUGAGGAAUACAUCGGAAUCUACUUUUUCGUGGGGGAUAACGUAGGGAAACUUACGCUAAUACCGCAUACGACCUACGGGUGAAAGCAGGGGAUCUUCGGACCUUGCGCGAUUGAAUGAGCCGAUGUCGGAUUAGCUAGUUGGCGGGGUAAAGGCCCACCAAGGCGACGAUCCGUAGCUAGUCUGAGAGGAUGAUCAGCCACACUGGAACUGAGACACGGUCCAGACUCCUACGGGAGGCAGCAGUGGGGAAUAUUGGACAAUGGGCGCAAGCCUGAUCCAGCCAUACCGCGUGGGUGAAGAAGGCCUUCGGGUUGUAAAGCCCUUUUGUUGGGAAAGAAAAGCAGCAGGUUAAUACCCCGCUGUUCUGACGGGACCCAAAGAAUAAGCACCGGCUAACUUCGU